Molecule: long non-coding RNA, 486 nt
Organism: Mauremys reevesii (Reeves's turtle)
Lineage: Eukaryota; Metazoa; Chordata; Testudines; Geoemydidae
Exons: 3
Source: RefSeq, a predicted model, not a curated record
CGCUCUGGGGGUGCUGUGGUGGCUCCUGCCGAGAAGCUGCUGAGCGCCGGGUGGCCGGGCCCAGGCCCUGCUGCCAAGCCACCGCAGAGGAUGGAUGGCAUUGAUGAGCCAUGAUGGAGAGAGGAAGACCCUCUGGAGGGGACCUGAGAGGACUCCAGGGAGAACGUAAGAGGGCACCGGUGGCACAGCAGAGGAAGCCUGGACAGGAAGUGGGCCAGGGAGCAGCUCCUCUUCUUCCUCGGGGCCUGGAGGGACUGGGAAUGAGCCCAACAACAAUGCGGUCAACGCCAGCUGGGACCAGUGUGCUCUGCAGCUCACUCGGAGCUGCUAGGGAAAGGAGAACGUGCAACCCCAAUCCUGUGCCAGCCUCUUAUCUCUGACUCUCUUCCCUGCUCAUCCCAGACCCUCUUAGGGGGAAGCCUCCAGUUUCCCCUCCACUCAACUCAUGUGCCCCAAGCCCAGGUGGCCUCUUAUUUUACCUGCACC